RNAcentral lists this ribosomal RNA (420 nucleotides) under uncultured bacterium. RNAcentral describes it as "bacterial SSU rRNA". It matches the Rfam family "Bacterial small subunit ribosomal RNA", at positions 355 to 774 of the family's 1533-position model. The record is from RNAcentral.
UAAGGAAUAUUGCUCAAUGGGAGAAAUCCUGAAGCAGCAACGCCGCGUGGAGGAUGAAGGGUCUAUGACUUGUAAACUCCUGUAAAGAAGGAAAAAAUUCCCAUUUGAUGGGAGAUGAUGGUACUUCUGGAGUAAGCCCCGGCUAACUACGUGCCAGCAGCCGCGGUAAUACGUAGGGGGCAAGCGUUGUCCGGAUUUACUGGGUGUAAAGGGUGCUCAGGCGGAUUUGUAAGUCAGAGGUGAAAUCUUACAGCUUAACUGUGAAACUGCCUUUGNUACUGCAAGCCUAGAGUAUGGAAGAGAGUGAUGGAAUAUCUGGUGUAGCAGUGAAAUGCGUAGAUAUCAGAUAGAACACCAAUGGCGAAGGCAGUCACUUGGUCCAUUACUGACGCUAAAGCACGAAAGCGUGGGUAGCAAACA